CUGGCUCAGAACGAACGCUGGCGGCAGGCUUAACACAUGCAAGUCGAGCGCCCCGCAAGGGGAGCGGCAGACGGGUGAGUAACGCGUGGGAAUCUACCCUUGACUACGGAAUAACGCAGGGAAACUUGUGCUAAUACCGUAUGUGUCCUUCGGGAGAAAGAUUUAUCGGUCAAGGAUGAGCCCGCGUUGGAUUAGCUAGUUGGUGGGGUAAAGGCCUACCAAGGCGACGAUCCAUAGCUGGUCUGAGAGGAUGAUCAGCCACAUUGGGACUGAGACACGGCCCAAACUCCUACGGGAGGCAGCAGUGGGGAAUAUUGGACAAUGGGCGCAAGCCUGAUCCAGCCAUGCCGCGUGAGUGAUGAAGGCCCUAGGGUUGUAAAGCUCUUUUCACCGGAGAAGAUAAUGACGG
RNAcentral lists this ribosomal RNA (409 nucleotides) under Rhizobium hidalgonense. RNAcentral's name for it is "bacterial SSU rRNA". It matches the Rfam family "Bacterial small subunit ribosomal RNA", at positions 19 to 457 of the family's 1533-position model. The record is from RNAcentral. Lineage: Bacteria; Pseudomonadati; Pseudomonadota; Alphaproteobacteria; Hyphomicrobiales; Rhizobiaceae.